UAAUACGAGGGGUGCAAACGUUAUUCGGAAUAACUGGGCGUAAAGGGUGCGUAGACGGCGCAUUAAGUUUGCUGUUAAAUUCUUCAGCCUAACUGAAGAUCAGCGGUGAAAACUGGUGUGCUAGAGGUUGGAAGAGAGAAGUGGAAUUCUCGGAGUAGCGGUAAAAUGCGUAGAUCUCGAGAGGAACACCGAUGGCGAAAGCAGCUUCUUGGUCCAAUCCUGACGUUGAGGCACGAAAGCGUGGGGAGCAAACAGGAUUAGAUACCCUGGUAGUCCACGCCGUAAACGAUAAUCACUAGACGUCAGUCUGGCUCUGCUGGAUUGGUGUCGAAGCUAACGCGUUAAGUGAUUCGCCUGGGGAGUACGGUCGCAAGAUUA
Molecule: ribosomal RNA, 378 nt
Filed under: uncultured bacterium
Lineage: Bacteria
Description: bacterial SSU rRNA
Rfam family: Bacterial small subunit ribosomal RNA
Source: RNAcentral